UUGGACCAACCUGUACUAGAGCAGCAGCUAGAACCUCCAAAGUCCAAGAGUAGCACUCUAAGCCUAACUUGUAUCAGGAAAAACCCUGACAGCAGCAGUAGCAGCAAUAUGGAGGGCCUUCUCUGGAGCCCGGGACAACUGGAAAGGCUCAAAGCUGGCCUGCAGCUCUUCUGACACAGUCACAGCCAGUCAAGAAUCCACCCAUGGUACAGACUGGACAACCUGGGAGACAGUUCAGAUCAGCCAUAUCAAUUCAGCUUUAAACCACAAUGGAAAUGUGAAUGAUUUUCUGUUUUGUUUUGAAAAAUAAUAAACAAAUUUUUGUCAUGGUGUUUGUGACAUAAGA
This is a long non-coding RNA of Psammomys obesus (fat sand rat), 346 nucleotides long. RefSeq lists it as uncharacterized. NCBI's taxonomy places the organism in Eukaryota, Metazoa, Chordata, Mammalia, Rodentia, Muridae. The transcript is spliced from 2 exons. The record is from RefSeq and is a predicted model, not a curated record.